UGGGGAUGACGUCAAGUCAUCAUGGCCCUUACGGCCAGGGCUACACACGUGCUACAAUGGCGCGUACAGAGGGCUGCAAGCUAGCGAUAGUGAGCGAAUCCCAAAAAGCGCGUCGUAGUCCGGAUUGGAGUCUGCAACUCGACUCCGUGAAGUCGGAAUCGCUAGUAAUCGCAAAUCAGAAUGUUGCGGUGAAUACGUUCCCGGGCCUUGUACACACCGCCCGUCACACCAUGGGAGUGGGUUGCACCAGAAGUAGAUAGCUUAACCUUCGGGAGGGCGUUUACCACGGUGUGAUUCAUGACUGGGGUGAAGUCGUAACAAGGUAACCCUAGGGGAACCUGGGGUUGGAUCACCUCCUUA
This 360-nucleotide ribosomal RNA is filed under the name Aeromonas sp. Prich7-2. Its description in RNAcentral is "bacterial SSU rRNA". It matches the Rfam family "Bacterial small subunit ribosomal RNA", at positions 1174 to 1533 of the family's 1533-position model. Lineage: Bacteria; Pseudomonadati; Pseudomonadota; Gammaproteobacteria; Aeromonadales; Aeromonadaceae. The record is from RNAcentral.